This 402-nucleotide ribosomal RNA is filed under the name uncultured bacterium. RNAcentral describes it as "bacterial SSU rRNA". It matches the Rfam family "Bacterial small subunit ribosomal RNA", at positions 355 to 774 of the family's 1533-position model. The record is from RNAcentral.
UGGGGAAUAUUGGACAAUGGGGGAAACCCUGAUCCAGCAAUGCCGCGUGAGUGAAGAAGGCCUUAGGGUUGUAAAGCUCUUUCGCCCGCGAAGAUAAUGACGGUAGCGGGAGAAGAAGCCCCGGCUAACUACGUGCCAGCAGCCGCGGUAAUACGUAGGCAGCAAGCGUUGUUCGGAGUUACUGGGCGUAAAGAGUGCGUAGGCGGUUUUCUAAGUUCGGUGUGAAAUCUCCCGGCUUAACUGGGAGGGUGCGCCGAAGACUGGGAAGCUGGAGUGUGGGAAAGGCAGGCGGAAUUCCUGGUGUAGCGGUGAAAUGCGUAGAUAUCAGGGGGAACACCGGCGGUGUAGACGGCUUGCUAGACCAUAACUGACGCUGAGGCACGAAAGCGUGGGUAGCAAACA